Long non-coding RNA from Triticum aestivum (bread wheat), 2623 nucleotides. RefSeq lists it as uncharacterized. The record is from RefSeq and is a predicted model, not a curated record. The transcript has 2 exons. Lineage: Eukaryota; Viridiplantae; Streptophyta; Magnoliopsida; Poales; Poaceae.
GAAACCAUGUAGCACAUGUGUUGUCACCGGGAGCAAAGGCAAAGCUAAUUGUCUCCCUGGUGAAUUUGUGCGUGCGUGUGUGUUUUCUGCCCUCCGUUCUUGAGAGAAACAACCAGGGAGAGAAGAAAGAAAGAGAGAGAAACCUCAGGAGAGUUGUGCGAGGCAGCUCGAGGAGGAAGAAGAGCGGUGCUGCGAGGAGGCGGCGCCAACAAUUGGUAUCAGAUCCUCGUCGAUCCGAUGCGGCGACGGCGGCGCGGCCGACUCCAUGUGAGGUAGAGGACGGCGGCGCGAGGUGGCAGCUGACGGUGGCGCGAUGUCGCCGGCUGACGGUUGCGGUGCGAUGCCGCGAGACGAAGAUGGUGUGGUCCACGUCAAGAAGUGGCCGUUGUGAGCGGCAAGUCGGCAUGGUGAUCGGCGCCACGAUGGUGUCGUCGCCGACAAUAUGGUGUAUGGUGCUCGACGCUGAUGUUGCGUGUUGACCGGCGCUGCGAUGGCGUCGUCCACGACAAGAAGGUGUUCGGCGGUGUGAUGCCGUGCGCACAUGUGGUUGCGGUGUGAUGCUGCUAGGAGGAGACGGUGGUGCGAGGCUGCCAUGACGACGAUGCGAGGCCGUUACAAGGAGAUGCGGUGCGAUACCGCAAGAUGAUGAUGGUGUAGUGAUCGGCGUCGCGAGGACAUCAUCCACGACGAGAUGGUCCAUGGCAAUUGGCGUCGUGACGGCUUCGACAAUGGCAAGUGGCUGCAGCGCUACGAUGGCGUCGUCAAGUGGCAGCAGGUGAUCCACAUCGAAGAUUGAAGAAUCAAGGUUAGAGAGUAGCUAGUCCGGUGAAGCUUCAGCGGAGGCACGCGGAGAAGAUGAUAUGUCAGACUGCCGUGCGACGCGGCGAGCACGACGAGAUGUCGAUGUUGCUGUGAGAUACGGCCACACCGUGAGAUGCGGCAUGACGCGAUGGUCGCUGGAGCGUGAUGGGUUGCAAGAUCAAGUUGAGCCUGGCCAUUGCGGUGGCUGCUGAAUAUGGCCGAGUCUUGUGGCAGUUGGAGUGAUUCUAGCAAGGAGUAAGAUAAGGCCAGUUAGUAUGUGCAUGUAGAUAUGGGUUAGUUAGUUAGUGGCUUACUGCAUGCAAGGAGGUGGUGCGGUUAGUGGCGAGUAUGCCGGCCGGGCUAUGUGUGCGUGCGUGUGCAUGGGAUUUGCAUCAGGCCAUUAGCCCCUGGCUAUGUGUAUAUAUAUCUUGCAUCGGAGUAAUGAAAGGAGGGUAUGAGGGCUGAAGGAAACCAUGUAGCACAUGUGUUGUCACCGGGAGCAAAGGCAAAGCUAAUUGUCUCCCUGGUGAAUGUGUGCGUGCGUCUGUGUUUUCUGUCCUAUGUUCUUGAGAGAAACAACCAGCGAGAGAAGAAAGAAAGAGAGAGAAACCUCAGGAGAGUUGUGCGAGGCAGCUCGAGGAGGAAGAAGAGCGGCGCUGCGAGGAGGCGGCGCCAAUAAUUAGUAUCAGAGCCUCGUCGAUCCGAUGCGGCGACGACGACGAUGCGACCGACUCCAUGUGAGGUGGAGGACGGCGGCGCGAGGUGGAGACUGCCGGUGGCGCGAUGUCGCCGGCGGACGGUUGCGGUGCGAUGCCGUGAGACAAAGAUGGCGUGAUCCACGUCAAGAAGUGGCCGCUGUGAGCAGCAAGUCGGCAUGGUGAUCGGCACCGCGAUGGUGUCGUCGCCGACAAUAUGGUGUGUGGUGCUCGAUGCUGAUGUUGCGUGUUGACUGGCGCUGCGAUGGCGUCGUCCACGACAAGGAGGUGUUCGGCGGUGUGAUGCCGCGCGAACAUGUGGUUGCGGUGUGAUGCCGCUAGGAGGAGACGGUGGUGCGAGGCUGCCAUGACGACGGUGCGAGGCCGGUACAAGGAGAUGCGGUGCGAUGCCGCAGGAUGAUGAUGGUGUGGUGAUCGGCGUCGCGAGGACAUCAUCCACGACAAGAUGGUCCAUGGCAAUUGGCGCCAUGACAGCUUCAACAAUGGCAAGUGGCUGCGGCGCUACGAUGGCGUCGUCAAGUGGCAGCAGGUGAUCCACAUCGAAGAUUGAAGAAUCAAGAUUAAGGGGGAACAUGUUAGCUUUAAUCUUGAUUCAUGUAUCUGCAUAUUUAGUUUGCUUUCGUUGUGCAUGUAGGAUAGGUUAGAGAGUAGCUAGUCCGGUGAAGCUUCAGCGGAGGCACGCGGAGAAGAUGAGAUGUCAGGCUGUCGUGCGACGCGGCAAGCACGACGAGAUGUCGAUGUUGCUGUGAGAUACGGCCACACCGUGAGAUGCGGCACGACGCGAUGGUCGCUGGAGCGUGAUGGGUUGCAAGAUCAAGUUGAGGCUGGCCGUUGCCGUGGCUGCUGAAUAUGGCCGAGUCUUAUGGCAGUUGGAGUGAUUCUAGCAAGGAGUAAGAUAAGGCCAGUUAGUAUGUGCAUGUAGAUAUGGGUUAGUUAGUUAGUGGCUUACUGCAUGCAAGGAGGUGGUGCGGUUAGUGGCGAGUAUGCCGGCCGGGCUAUGUGUGCGUGCGUGUGCAUGGGAUUUGCAUCAAGCCAUUAGCCCCUGGCUAUGUGUAUAUAUAUCUUGCAUUGGAGUAAUGAAAGAAGGUUGUGAGGGCUGAAGGAAA